UUUAGACAAACUAUUUUGUGGAGUUUAAA
Molecule: non-coding RNA, 29 nt
Filed under: Rattus norvegicus (Norway rat)
Lineage: Eukaryota; Metazoa; Chordata; Mammalia; Rodentia; Muridae
Source: RNAcentral